GGUUGGAUCAUUAAUAAUUUGAGUCUCGGACUCCCAGUGGGGCCCGCUUCGGCGGGCCUCUCUACACACCUGUGAACUGUUUUGUCUUUGGACAACCUACACUUUUUUAUACUGACUGAAUCAAUGAGAUUAAUUAAAAAACAACUUUUAACAACGGAUCUCUUGGCUCUCGCAACGAUGAAGAACGCAGCGAAAUGCGAUACGUAAUGUGAAUUGCAGACCGUGAAUCAUCUAAUCUUUGAACGCAUAUUGCGCUCUCUGGUAUUCCGGAGAGCAUGCCUGUUUGAGAAUCGAUCAACCCAUCAUGCCUUGCGGCGUCCGACCCCGUGUCGGGUGCCCUGGACGUGGAUUUGGACAGUGCACUACUUGUGGUGCUUGUCUGUAAGUUAGCGUUGACCUUGGCGCCAGUGUUUUCAAGGAGUCGUGUUUACUUGCAUUUAUGCAUUGAGGCGAGUCGUUGGAAAGCUGUGCUGCCGUCAGGGGCAAUUCCCCACCGAGGCCUUCGGGCCUUACCCGCACUUUACAGUGUAUCUUGGUCUCAAAUCAGGCAAGAGUACCCGCUGAACUUAAGCAUAUCAAUAAGCGGAGGAAAAGAAACUAACAAGGAUUCCCCUAGUAACGGCGAGUGAAGCGGGAAGUGCUCAAAUUUGAAAUCUCGCAAGCUUCUUGCGCGAAUUGUAGUUUAGAGAAGUGUUUUCGGGGGUAAACUGAGCAUAAGUCUUCUGGAACGAAGCAUCGUAGAGGGUGAUAAUCCCGUCUUUGGUUCAGACCUUACUUUCAUGUGAUACACUUUCAAAGAGUCGGGUUGUUUGGGAAUGCAGCCCAAAAUGGGUGGUAAACACCAUCUAAAGCUAAAUAACGGCGAGAGACCGAUAGCGAACAAGUACCGUGAGGGAAAGAUGAAAAGAACUUUGAAAAGAGAGUUAAAAAGUACGUGAAAUUGUUAAAAGGGAAACGUUUGAAACCAGUAUUGGGAGGAAGUAGUCAUCUGUGCUUUCGAGCUAAGGUGCUCCUACUUUUUGCCAAGUCAACAUCAGUUUGACUUGGAGUAAACACUGUCAGGAAGGUAGCCUUCGGGUAUUAUAGCCUGGCAGCAUGCUCCGGGUUGGACUGAGGAUUGCAGUGUAACCUAGGGGGAACCCUUCGCCUUUUGCAGGGCCUUGGAAAACAGCGUGCUGAUUUUCACGGACUGAAUAAAGCUCGGGGGGUGUACCACUUUUACGCUUAAGAUGUUGACGAAAUGGUUUUAAGCGACCCGUCUUGAAACACGGACCAAGGAGUCUAACACAUAUGCGAGUAUUUGGGUGGCAAACCCAUGUGCGUAAUGAAAGUGAUGAGGUGGGAUCUUAGGAGCACCAUCGACCGGUCUGGACAUUUUUAGAUAGAUCUGAGUAAGAGCAUAUUUGCUGGGACCCGAAAGAUGGUGAACUAUGCCUGAAUAGGGUGAAGCCAGAGGAAACUCUGGUGGAGGCUCGUAGCGAUUCUGACGUGCAAAUCGAUCGUCAAAUUUGGGUAUAGGGGCGAAAGACUAAUCGAACCAUCUAGUAGCUGGUUCCCUC
This 1559-nucleotide unclassified non-coding RNA is filed under the name uncultured fungus. RNAcentral describes it as "sequence contains 18S rRNA gene, ITS1, 5.8S rRNA gene, ITS2, 28S rRNA gene". The stretch from base 534 to 1559 matches the Rfam family "Eukaryotic large subunit ribosomal RNA", at positions 1 to 961 of the family's 3401-position model. The record is from RNAcentral. Lineage: Eukaryota; Fungi.